Molecule: transfer RNA, 73 nt
Filed under: Saprospiraceae bacterium
Lineage: Bacteria; Pseudomonadati; Bacteroidota; Saprospiria; Saprospirales; Saprospiraceae
Description: tRNA-Trp
Rfam family: tRNA
About the family: Transfer RNA (tRNA) molecules are approximately 80 nucleotides in length. Their secondary structure includes four short double-helical elements and three loops (D, anti-codon, and T loops).
Source: RNAcentral
ACGGGCAUAGCUCAACUGGUAGAGUGGCGGUCUCCAAAACCGUAGGUUGCGGGUUCGAUUCCUGCUGCCCGUG